UACCAGCUCUCCGAGUGGUAGGGAUGAUUAUUGGGCUUAAAGCGUCCGUAGCCGGCUUAGCAAGUCUCCUGUUAAAUUCAGCGACCUAAUCGUUGAGCCGCGGGAGAUACUACUAGGCUAGGAGGCGGGAGAGGUCAACGGUACUUCCGGGGUAGGGGUGAAAUCCUAUAAUCCCGGGAGGACCACCAGUGGCGAAGGCUGUUGACUAGAACGCGCUCGACGGUGAGGGACGAAAGCUGGGGGAGCGAACCGGAUUAGAUACCCGGGUAGUCCCAGCUGUAAACGAUGCGAGCUAGGUGUUGGGGUGGCUACGUGCCACUUCAGUGCCGCAGGGAAGCCAUUAAGCUCGCCGCCUGGGGAGUACGGCCGCAAGGCUAGAAACUUAAAGGAAUUGGCGGGGGAGCGACCACAAGGCGUGAAGCUUGCGGUUC
RNAcentral lists this ribosomal RNA (431 nucleotides) under uncultured archaeon. RNAcentral's name for it is "bacterial SSU rRNA". It matches the Rfam family "Archaeal small subunit ribosomal RNA", at positions 474 to 903 of the family's 1478-position model. The record is from RNAcentral.